Molecule: ribosomal RNA, 406 nt
Filed under: uncultured bacterium
Lineage: Bacteria
Description: partial 16S ribosomal RNA
Rfam family: Bacterial small subunit ribosomal RNA
Source: RNAcentral
AUUGAACGCUGGCGGCAAGCCUAACACAUGCAAGUCGAACGAGUGGCGGACGGGUGAGUAAUGUAUGGGAAACUGCCUGAUGGAGGGGGAUAACUACUGGAACCGGUAGCUAAUACCGCAUACCAUCGGAUGUGCCCAGAUGGGAUUAGCUAGUAGGUGGGGUAAAGGCUCACCUAGGCGACUAUCCCUAGCUGGUCUGAGAGGUUGACCAGCCCCACUGGAACUUAGACCCGGUCCAGACUCCUACGGGAGGGAGCAGUGGGGAAUUUUGCACAAGGGGCGCAAGCCUGAUGCAGCCAUGCGGCGUGUAUGAAUAAGGCCUUCGGGUUGUAAAGUACUUUCAGCGGGGAGGCGUUACCCGCAGAAGAAGCACCGGCUAACUCCGUGCCAGCAGCCGCGGUAAUAC